This 440-nucleotide ribosomal RNA is filed under the name uncultured bacterium. Its description in RNAcentral is "partial 16S ribosomal RNA". It matches the Rfam family "Bacterial small subunit ribosomal RNA", at positions 338 to 795 of the family's 1533-position model. The record is from RNAcentral.
CCUACGGGAGGCAGCAGUGGGGAAUAUUGCACACUGGGGGAAACCCUGCUGCAGCGACGCCGAGUGAGUGCAGAAGUAAUUCGUUAUGUAAAGCUCUAUCAGCAGGGAAGAAAAUGACGGUACCUGAGUAAGAAGCCCCGGCUAACUACGUGCCAGCAGCCGCGGUAAUACGUAGGGGGCAAGCGUUACCCGGAUUUACUGGGGGUAAAGGGAGCGUAGACGGGAUUGCAAGUCUGAUGUGAAAUCCUGGGGCUUAACCAUCGAACUGCUCUGGAAACUGUACGUCUGGAGUGCAGGAGAGUUAGGUGGAAUUCUUGGUGUAGGGGUAAAAUCCGUAGAGAUCAAGAGGAAUACUAAUUGCGAAGGCGACCUGCUAGAACAUAACUGACGCUGAUGCGCGAAAGCGUGGGGAGCAAACAGGAUUAGAUACCCGGGUAGUC